Molecule: non-coding RNA, 205 nt
Filed under: Parabacteroides sp.
Lineage: Bacteria; Pseudomonadati; Bacteroidota; Bacteroidia; Bacteroidales; Tannerellaceae
Also listed under: 1 other name
Source: RNAcentral
GUAAUUUUGCGGCGUUGAAGUUCCACUGCCGCCACAGAGGUGUCGGCUAGAGUGGAUUGAAAGGGAAUCCGGUGAGAAUCCGGGACAGUACCUGCUGCUGUGAGUCCCACGCAACGUUUCCGCACAAUGUCAUUGCCCCUCGCGGGGUGAGAAGGCGCGGACAACGGGGACGAGUCAGAAGACCUGCUUCAAUACGAUGCGAUAA